AUUCUGGUGCCCUGCCGGAGGGGUGAUUCGGACACGGUGGGCUUCUUCAUCAACACCAUGACCUCUCCGGUGAUGCGUGAGUAGUUCACCAUAGACCUUCGGGUCCAUAGCUAGUAGCUAGAUGGCUUAUUCUCUCUCUUGGAUAUUCAAUACAAAGUUCUCCAUGAUCUUCAUGGAGAUCUAUCCGAUGUAAUCUUCUUUUGCGAUGUGUUUGACGAUAUCCGAUGAAUUGUGGAUUUAUGAUCAGAUUACCUAUGAAUCUUAUUUGAGUUUCUUCUGAUCUCUUA
This 287-nucleotide long non-coding RNA is filed under the name Hordeum vulgare. Its description in RNAcentral is "long non-coding RNA (HVUL_LNC015277)". The record is from RNAcentral. Lineage: Eukaryota; Viridiplantae; Streptophyta; Magnoliopsida; Poales; Poaceae.